GGUUAAGCGACUAAGCGUACACGGUGGAUGCCCUGGCAGUCAGAGGCGAUGAAGGACGUGCUAAUCUGCGAUAAGCGUCGGUGAGGUGAUAUGAACCGUUAUAACCGGCGAUUUCCGAAUGGGGAAACCCAGUGUGUUUCGACACACUAUCAUUAACUGAAUCCAUAGGUUAAUGAGGCGAACCGGGGGAACUGAAACAUCUAAGUACCCCGAGGAAAAGAAAUCAACCGAGAUUCCCCCAGUAGCGGCGAGCGAACGGGGAGGAGCCCAGAGCCUGAAUCAGUGUGUGUGUUAGUGGAAGCGUCUGGAAAGGCGCGCGAUACAGGGUGACAGCCCCGUACACAAAAAUGCACAUGCUGUGAGUUCGAUGAGUAGGGCGGGACACGUGGUAUCCUGUCUGAAUAUGGGGGGACCAUCCUCCAAGGCUAAAUACUCCUGACUGACCGAUAGUGAACCAGUACCGUGAGGGAAAGGCGAAAAGAACCCCGGCGAGGGGAGUGAAAAAGAACCUGAAACCGUGUACGUACAAGCAGUGGGAGCCUCUUAAUGGGGUGACUGCGUACCUUUUGUAUAAUGGGUCAGCGACUUAUAUUCUGUAGCAAGGUUAACCGAAUAGGGGAGCCGAAGGGAAACCGAGUCUUAACUGGGCGUUAAGUUGCAGGGUAUAGACCCGAAACCCGGUGAUCUAGCCAUGGGCAGGUUGAAGGUUGGGUAACACUAACUGGAGGACCGAACCGACUAAUGUUGAAAAAUUAGCGGAUGACUUGUGGCUGGGGGUGAAAGGCCAAUCAAACCGGGAGAUAGCUGGUUCUCCCCGAAAGCUAUUUAGGUAGCGCCUCGUGAAUUCAUCUCCGGGGGUAGAGCACUGUUUCGGCAAGGGGGUCAUCCCGACUUACCAACCCGAUGCAAACUGCGAAUACCGGAGAAUGUUAUCACGGGAGACACACGGCGGGUGCUAACGUCCGUCGUGAAGAGGGAAACAACCCAGACCGCCAGCUAAGGUCCCAAAGUCAUGGUUAAGUGGGAAACGAUGUGGGAAGGCCCAGACAGCCAGGAUGUUGGCUUAGAAGCAGCCAUCAUUUAAAGAAAGCGUAAUAGCUCACUGGUCGAGUCGGCCUGCGCGGAAGAUGUAACGGGGCUAAACCAUGCACCGAAGCUGCGGCAGCGACGCUUAUGCGUUGUUGGGUAGGGGAGCGUUCUGUAAGCCUGUGAAGGUGUGCUGUGAGGCAUGCUGGAGGUAUCAGAAGUGCGAAUGCUGACAUAAGUAACGAUAAAGCGGGUGAAAAGCCCGCUCGCCGGAAGACCAAGGGUUCCUGUCCAACGUUAAUCGGGGCAGGGUGAGUCGACCCCUAAGGCGAGGCCGAAAGGCGUAGUCGAUGGGAAACAGGUUAAUAUUCCUGUACUUGGUGUUACUGCGAAGGGGGGACGGAGAAGGCUAUGUUGGCCGGGCGACGGUUGUCCCGGUUUAAGCGUGUAGGCUGAUUUUCCAGGCAAAUCCGGAAAAUCAAGGCUGAGGCGUGAUGACGAGGCACUACGGUGCUGAAGCAACAAAUGCCCUGCUUCCAGGAAAAGCCUCUAAGCAUCAGGUAACAUCAAAUCGUACCCCAAACCGACACAGGUGGUCAGGUAGAGAAUACCAAGGCGCUUGAGAGAACUCGGGUGAAGGAACUAGGCAAAAUGGUGCCGUAACUUCGGGAGAAGGCACGCUGAUAUGUAGGUGAAGCGACUUGCUCGUGGAGCUGAAAUCAGUCGAAGAUACCAGCUGGCUGCAACUGUUUAUUAAAAACACAGCACUGUGCAAACACGAAAGUGGACGUAUACGGUGUGACGCCUGCCCGGUGCCGGAAGGUUAAUUGAUGGGGUUAGCGGCAACGCGAAGCUCUUGAUCGAAGCCCCGGUAAACGGCGGCCGUAACUAUAACGGUCCUAAGGUAGCGAAAUUCCUUGUCGGGUAAGUUCCGACCUGCACGAAUGGCGUAAUGAUGGCCAGGCUGUCUCCACCCGAGACUCAGUGAAAUUGAACUCGCUGUGAAGAUGCAGUGUACCCGCGGCAAGACGGAAAGACCCCGUGAACCUUUACUAUAGCUUGACACUGAACAUUGAGCCUUGAUGUGUAGGAUAGGUGGGAGGCUUUGAAGUGUGGACGCCAGUCUGCAUGGAGCCGACCUUGAAAUACCACCCUUUAAUGUUUGAUGUUCUAACGUGGGCCCGUAAUCCGGGUUGCGGACAGUGUCUGGUGGGUAGUUUGACUGGGGCGGUCUCCUCCUAAAGAGUAACGGAGGAGCACGAAGGUUGGCUAAUCCUGGUCGGACAUCAGGAGGUUAGUGCAAUGGCAUAAGCCAGCUUGACUGCGAGCGUGACGGCGCGAGCAGGUGCGAAAGCAGGUCAUAGUGAUCCGGUGGUUCUGAAUGGAAGGGCCAUCGCUCAACGGAUAAAAGGUACUCCGGGGAUAACAGGCUGAUACCGCCCAAGAGUUCAUAUCGACGGCGGUGUUUGGCACCUCGAUGUCGGCUCAUCACAUCCUGGGGCUGAAGUAGGUCCCAAGGGUAUGGCUGUUCGCCAUUUAAAGUGGUACGCGAGCUGGGUUUAGAACGUCGUGAGACAGUUCGGUCCCUAUCUGCCGUGGGCGCUGGAGAACUGAGGGGGGCUGCUCCUAGUACGAGAGGACCGGAGUGGACGCAUCACUGGUGUUCGGGUUGUCAUGCCAAUGGCACUGCCCGGUAGCUAAAUGCGGAAGAGAUAAGUGCUGAAAGCAUCUAAGCACGAAACUUGCCCCGAGAUGAGUUCUCCCUGACUCCUUGAGAGUCCUGAAGGAACGUUGAAGACGACGACGUUGAUAGGCCGGGUGUGUAAGCGCAGCGAUGCGUUGAGCUAACCGGUACUAAUGAACCGUGAGGCUUAACCUU
RNAcentral lists this ribosomal RNA (2905 nucleotides) under Escherichia coli. RNAcentral describes it as "23S ribosomal RNA". It matches the Rfam family "Bacterial large subunit ribosomal RNA". Lineage: Bacteria; Pseudomonadati; Pseudomonadota; Gammaproteobacteria; Enterobacterales; Enterobacteriaceae. The record is from RNAcentral.